GGAGCGGUGUCAGAGCGGUUUAUUGAGACGGUCUUGAAAACCGUUGAGGGUUAAUAGCCCUCCGUGGGUUCGAAUCCCACCUGCUCCG
This 88-nucleotide transfer RNA is filed under the name Paludibacteraceae bacterium. RNAcentral describes it as "tRNA-Ser". It matches the Rfam family "tRNA". Rfam says of the family: Transfer RNA (tRNA) molecules are approximately 80 nucleotides in length. Their secondary structure includes four short double-helical elements and three loops (D, anti-codon, and T loops). Lineage: Bacteria; Pseudomonadati; Bacteroidota; Bacteroidia; Bacteroidales; Paludibacteraceae. The record is from RNAcentral.